Amphibalanus amphitrite is the source of this 397-nucleotide long non-coding RNA. RefSeq lists it as uncharacterized. Lineage: Eukaryota; Metazoa; Arthropoda; Thecostraca; Balanomorpha; Balanidae. The record is from RefSeq and is a predicted model, not a curated record. The transcript is spliced from 3 exons.
GGGAAUCUGUUGACACGUGGUGUUGGGACUUGUGGUCGCGUGGAACGGUCAUGGAAGAUAUGAGCUUCGUCGACGAAGAUGGCAAGCCUCUCGAUGUGAGGACGCUACAGAUUUUGAAAGAAACGUCACGAAAGGGCGGAAAGAGGCCUGGUGCUCAUGUCUAUCGGUUCAUUAACAAUAAGACCCAUCGGAGGACAAAGUAUAACAAGGCAACCAAGGUUCUCAUUGAGAAGGCUCGACAGUUGGAGGUCAUGACGGGCUCCACGGUCCACAUCAGCGUGACCAACCCAACUUACGCGAAAAGGUGCUACCCGAUGGAGGAAUCCCCUGUUGCUUCAGGGGAUUCAUCUGCUGCCCAAGCCCCAACCACAUCCACCGCCUCCACCGGGGUGCAGAC